This 520-nucleotide ribosomal RNA is filed under the name Tribolonotus novaeguineae. Its description in RNAcentral is "partial 16S ribosomal RNA". It matches the Rfam family "Bacterial large subunit ribosomal RNA", at positions 1850 to 2610 of the family's 2925-position model. The record is from RNAcentral. Lineage: Eukaryota; Metazoa; Chordata; Lepidosauria; Squamata; Scincidae.
AGGUAUCGCCUGCCCAGUGAAAUUUUUAAACGGCCGCGGUAUUAUAACCGUGCAAAGGUAGCGCAAUCACUUGUCUUCUAAAUAAAGACCAGUAUGAACGGCUAAAUGAGGACAAACCUGUCUCCUAUGGUCAAUCAGUGAAACUGAUCUCUCAGUACAAAAGCUGAGAUAAACCCAUAAGACGAGAAGACCCUGUGGAGCUUAAAACCAACCACCAAUAACGGACUAAAUGCCCCGCCAUGGUGAAAGGUUUUGAGUUGGGGCGACUUCGGAAUAAAAGAAAACUUCCGAGCACAGAACCACCACUUCUUACCAAGGCUAACAAGCCAAAGCAAUAAAUCCGAUCCAGUCACACUGAUCAACGAACCAAGUUACCCCAGGGAUAACAGCGCUAUCUUCUUCAAGAGUCCAUAUCGACAAGAAGGUUUACGACCUCGAUGUUGGAUCAGGACACCCAAAUGGUGCAGCCGCUAUUAAAGGUUCGUUUGUUCAACGAUUAAUAGUCCUACGUGAUCUGAGU